UACGAAGGGGGCUAGCGUUGUUCGGAAUUACUGGGCGUAAAGCGUGCGCAGGCGGCUUCUCAAGACAGGGGUGAAAGCCCAGAGCUCAACUCUGGAAUUGCCUUUGAGACUGAGUGGCUUGAGUACGAGAGAGGUGAGUGGAAUUCCCAGUGUAGAGGUGAAAUUCGUAGAUAUUGGGAAGAACACCGGUGGCGAAGGCGGCUCACUGGCUCGUAACUGACGCUCAUGCACGACAGCGUGGGGAUCAAACAGG
This 253-nucleotide ribosomal RNA is filed under the name uncultured bacterium. RNAcentral describes it as "partial 16S ribosomal RNA". It matches the Rfam family "Bacterial small subunit ribosomal RNA", at positions 524 to 776 of the family's 1533-position model. The record is from RNAcentral.